CUGAAACGAUUGCAUGGGUGGACGUCCAAUAACGACGAGCCCGAUCCGUCCCCGCCGGGACGGACGCAUCAGAAUCAG
Molecule: non-coding RNA, 78 nt
Organism: Methanolinea sp. SDB
Lineage: Archaea; Methanobacteriati; Methanobacteriota; Methanomicrobia; Methanomicrobiales; Methanoregulaceae
Source: Rfam